RNAcentral lists this ribosomal RNA (1528 nucleotides) under uncultured prokaryote. RNAcentral's name for it is "partial 16S ribosomal RNA". It matches the Rfam family "Bacterial small subunit ribosomal RNA". The record is from RNAcentral.
AGAGUUUGAUCAUGGCUCAGAGCGAACGUUGGCGGCGUGGAUUAGGCAUGCAAGUCGAGCGAGAAGCUCUGCUUCGGUGGAGCGGACAGCGGCGAAAGGGUGAGUAAUGCGUAGUCAACCUGCCCCCGAGAUCGGGAUAGCUUCUGGAAACGGGAGGUAAUACCGGAUGGACCGAUGCUGAGGCCUCUCAGGAUCGGUAAACGGAGGGGAUCUUCGGACCUUCUGCUUGGGGAGGGGAUUACGUCCUAUUAGCUAGUUGGUGGGGUAACGGCCUACCAAGGCUGUGAUGGGUAGCUGGUCUGAGAGGAUGGUCAGCCACACUGGGACUGAGACACUGCCCAGACUCCUACGGGAGGCUGCAGUCGAGAAUCUUCCGCAAUGGACGAAAGUCUGACGGAGCGACGCCGCGUGGAGGAUCGAAGGCCUUCGGGUUGUAAACUCCUUUCAAGCAGAGAAGAAUAGCUGUUGAUUAAUAGUUAGCAGUGUGACGUAAACCGCAGAAGAAGCUCCGGCUAACCCUGUGCCAGCAGCCGCGGUAAUACAGGGGGAGCGAACGUUACUCGGAAUCACUGGGCAUAAAGGGCACGUAGGCGGUCCUGUAAGUCGAGUGUGAAAGACCCUGGCUUAACCAGGGGAACGCAUUCGAUACUGCAGGGCUAGAGGUCGAGAGGGGUGAGCGGAACUCCUGGUGGAGCGGUGAAAUGCGUAGAUAUCAGGAGGAACACCGGUGGCGAAGGCGGCUCACUGGCUCGAUUCUGACGCUGAGGUGCGAAAGCCAGGGUAGCGAACGGGAUUAGAUACCCCGGUAGUCCUGGCCGUAAACGAUGUGCACUAGGUAAUGGAGGCUGUCUAUGGUUUUCAUUGCUGCAGCUAAUGUAUUAAGUGCUCCGCCUGGGGAGUAUGCUCGCAAGGGUAAAACUCAAAGGAAUUGACGGGGGCUCACACAAGCGGUGGAGCAUGUGGUUUAAUUCGAAGCAACGCGAAGAACCUUACCUGGCCUUGACAUCCAUGGAUUAGCUUCCUGAAAGGGAGGUGACAGCUUCGGGUGUAACGUGAACAGGUGUUGCAUGGCUGUCGUCAGCUCGUGUCGUGAGAUGUCGGGUUAAGUCCCAUAACGAGCGAAACCCUUGUCAUCAGUUGCCAGCGGGUAAUGCCGGGGACUCUGGUGAGACUGCCGUUGUCAAAACGGAGGAAGGUGGGGAUGACGUCAAGUCAUCAUGGCCCUUAUGUCUGGGGUGACACACGUGCUACAAUGGUAGGGACAACGGGUACCGAAGCCGCGAGGUGGAGGCAAUCCUUCAAACCCUAUCCCAGUUCGGAUUGAAGUCUGAAAUUCGACUUCAUGAAGUUGGAAUCGUUAGUAAUCGCGUAUCAGCCAUGACGCGGUGAAUAUGUUCCUGAGCCUUGUACACACCGCCCGUCAAGCCACGGAAGCCGAGAGCGCCCGAAGUCGUUUGCCUAACCGUAAGGAGGGCGGCGCCGACGGCAAGCUCGGUGAUUGGGACUAAGUCGUAACAAGGUAACCGUA